Molecule: long non-coding RNA, 6777 nt
Filed under: Nicotiana benthamiana
Lineage: Eukaryota; Viridiplantae; Streptophyta; Magnoliopsida; Solanales; Solanaceae
Description: long non-coding RNA (NBEN_LNC009013)
Source: RNAcentral
GCCAGCCAACUAACCCAAAUUCUCUCUUUAACCAUUUUUAAACAUAUAUGAAUAGAAAGUGCAACUUAAUGGCAUUAAAAACUAUUAAUUACAACCCAACAAACAUGAGACCGGGGUGUCACAAGUCACGAGCUUCUAAAGAAAAUUGAAUACCACUACGGGGCCAAUAAUAUAUACAAAAUAAAAUCUAAAGUUCAAAGAUGAAGUCAAGUGCCGCAAACGCUGGUGGUCACCUUACUCAACUACAAUAGUAUUACCUUCAAUAUGCUAAUAAUCCGCUACCGUUCGAACAAUACCUGCAACUACACGUUAGGUGCAGGGAGCAAAGUGAGUACUCCAACUCAAUGAGUAACAUGAAUAAAUAAUAAUUAAGCGGCAAGAAAACACGUAAAAGCGCUCCAUCAUGCAAUAUGGGACAGCACAACCUUUUUAGAAAAGGUAAGUCUGAAAAAAUUCUUUAGAAAAUAUCUGGCUCAGUUUAAAACCUCUUUUAAAAAUAUCAUUUUUCCAACAGUCAAGUAAGUGAAUGCAUAAUCAGGUAGUGCAAGUCCGCACAUAUGACAGCCCUAUGUGUACAACACUCCAUUAACAAAUAACACCAGAGAUCUGGUAACAGUGCAAGAAAUAGCAUGGAUGCCAAUGAUAUGAGAGUGUUGAAUGUCAUGUCACAUAGUACAAGCAGGAAACAAUGCGUGAAUGCAAUGCAAUGCAUAUGACCACUGCGGCGUGCAGCCCAAUCCAUUUUGGUACCGCGCUCACCGUGGGGGUUCAAACUCCGGAGGGGAUCCUACAGCCCAAGCGCAAUAUAAAUAUCACACCACUGCGGUGUGCAGCCCGAUCCAUGUACAAUCCAUAAUUGCACAUAAGCCACAUGGAAAAUAUUAAAAUAACUGUUCUCAGCUCAAAACGUCAGUAAAAUAUCAUUUAAGUUUUCAAAUCUUAGAAAGGCGGCUGAGUUGCAAAAUAAUAUUUAAAACUUUGGACCGAGAUAAAAUAAUAUGGAGAGUAAUGUAAAAAUAUUGAUAUCAAUUCUUGAAGGAUUAAAAUAAUCGGCACGAAGCCCAAAAUAUGGCAAUCAACCCAAAUCAUGAUGAUGACAAGUAGUCUCAGUCAAUUUCGUGGUAAAAUCAAUAACCGUGAUGGACCAAGUCACAAUCCCCACGAUGCUCUGCCCCACGCCCCUAUCCGGCGUGAAAGUCACCUCGAUACAGCACAAUGAUGUACAAAUCCGGGGUUUCCAACCCUCAGGAUAUCAUUUACAAGUAUUACUCACCUCGAACCGGUGAAAUCUCAAGCUCGCGAUGUCGUUGCCCCUCAAACCGUCCUCCACGCACGUCGAAUCUAACAAAAAUCAGAGCGAAUACAUCACAAUAUGCAAAGGGAACAAUACCCAAUUAAAACCAAUCGAGAAAUAGCAAAAAUCUCAAAACUAGCAAAACCCGAACCCCAAGCCCCCUUCUUCUUGCCCCUCAAACCGGCCUCCACGCUCAACGAAUCUGACCAAAAUCAGAGCGAAUACAUUACAAUAUGCCAGGGAACAAUACCCAAUCUAAAACAACUGAGAAAUAGCAGAAAUCUCAACUCGUCUCUGUCUUGAGGCCAAUAACCAGUGACUCUUUUGUUAACCACAUGUAGAAUAUCUUGUGUAGUCGGGUAGGAUAACUAGAAUAUAUCUUUCCUUUAGUGUGUAACCGAUUUAUAUAUGUUAAGCUCCCCUUUUUUUCUCUCCUUUGCUUUUCUUUUGCCCCUCUUUAAAGUAAAGCUGCUUCUUAGAGUUGGCUUUUGCAAUUGCAAUCUGUCUCUGUCUGGCUCCUCGCUUUGAACUCAAAUAAGACCUUCUUUUGGUCGAGUGACUUCGUUCCUGGUCUUCCUAUUCCCUUCGCUUUCCCAGCCGCUGCCUCUAAGGCCCAAGUACUUUUUUCCCGAGCCCGCUUCUCGAAAAAUUACAAAAUUCACAUCACCGAAUUUAUCGUCUCGACACAAGUUUGUACAUAUGAAAUUUAUCAAAAAUCGUAGUUAAAAUGCUCCCUCAAAUUCCUAAUUUUCAUUUAAAACCCGCCUUAGUUCUUCAAAUUUUCACCCAAUUUUCCAAGAAUUAAAGGUUGAUUCAUCAAUAAAAUAGCGUCUCUAGGUCACGAGACUUACCUCCAAUCAAUUUCCGUCAAAAUCCUCUUCAAUUUCUACCAAAAAUCUCUCAAGGUGGUUCAAGAAUGGUGGAACAUGGCUUACCUUCGCGGAAUAAAAUGAUUUAAAAAGCCCUACUGCCCAGCAGUUAUUUUCUCUAUGCGAACACGGUCAACCCUCCGCAUUCGCAAUGAAGAAACUUACGUUGACCAGAAAUUUCUCUACGCGAACGCGGUACCUAAACCGCGAUCGCGAUACACCAGGAAGUUUUAACUACGCGAACGCGUCCUACUCCCCGAGAACGCGUUUCACAGACCACUCCUCUCACGCGAACGCAUACAAUCAAUCGCGAAUGCAUUGAACAACUUAGGCAGAGCCCCAGGCUCUUUCUACGCAAAUGUGAGGAAAACCACGCGAACGCGAUGAACUGGCAACCCAUCUCUUCGCGAACAGGAAUCUACUCCUGCGAACACGAUGACCAAUUUUGGUCUGCAACUGCUGUGCAUUUUCUGUAGCAAAUCCUAAGUCCAAACUUUCUGUUUAACCAUCUGAAAUCAUCCCGAGGCCCCCGAGACCUCAACCAAAUUCACCAAAAUAUCCUAAAACAUCAUACAAACUUAUUCCAAUCAUCAUAACACGUAAAACAUCACUAAAAACAUCAAUUCACAUCGGAUUCAAGCCUGAGUUUUUUCAAAACUUCCGAAAUGAACUUUCAAUCAAAAACCCAACCAAACAGUGUCCUUUGACUUGAAAAUUUGCACGCAUACCCAAAAUCACUUAACAAAGCUACUGUAUCUCUCGGAAUCCCAUUCUACCCCAUGAUCAAAAUCUCACUUUCCAACCGAAAUUCGCCAAAAUUCUAACUUCACCAUUUCAAGCCUAAUUCUUCACUGGACCUCCAAAAUCAUUUCCAACUACGCUCAUACCCUGAAACUAUCCGAAACACCGGAAAUCACAUCCGACUCCUAUAACUCAUAAGUCAACGUCUGGUUAACUGUUUCAACUUAAGCCUUCCUUAAAGAGACUAAGUGUCUCAUUUCUUAUCAUAACCAGUCCAGAUCACUUCUAAUACACCACAUACCGAUAACGAAACAUGAGGAAGCAUAAAAUGGGGGAAACGAAGAAGUAACACAUGAGACGAUGGGUCGGGUCUGUCACACCUCCUUUUUCACCACACCCGCAAGGACAUAAAGAAGUUUUUCCACUUAAAGGACAAUAGAAACGGGAUUUAUUAUUUAGAUUUCAGAGUCGCCACAUGGGAGAUUAAUGGUGUCCUAAUUAAUCUGUUGAAUCCCGAACCGAGGUAAAUAUGACUCUGUUAAUAGUACGCGAACCAGAAAUUUGAGUAAGGAAUUAUGUUAACCCGGGAAAAGGUGUUAGGAAUUUUCGGGUUCCGUGGUUCUAGCACGGUCGCUCAACUAUCGUGUUUAGCUUAUUUAUCUGAUUUUAUUACAUGAUGAACCUAUGUGCCAAUUUUUACAUUCAACCGCUUUCAUUUAAUAUUUUUAAGAGAAAGUUGAACAUCGUUUAGAAUGUGUCUUCGGAUCGCGCCACAUUAAAUGCACCCACAAUCCUGAACACAUUCUAUUCAAAGUUCUGGGAUUUGAUUUGGGUCACAUGAAAUGCACACCCGAGUCUAAGAAUGUAAUUUUAUUAAAGUCACGCCUAAAGUGACUAACGCGUUAUUAUCUUUUAGGAAGACCGUAAAGUUCACUAAAUGGCACAUCCCGAAGUCUAAGUAUUUUAAUUCAACUAUUUAUUAAGGGCCUCGCAAUCUUGCAUUUUUAUUUAGCGAGGAUCAUCUCAUUUCUAUUUAAAAGGGCAGACCUAAAAGUAACUAGGGUUGUCUAUUUUUGCUUGUCUCUAAUAAUAAAGAAAAAGUCCUAAUUAACUAAAUUGUUAAACAAUUACUUACACUUUAGGGUCCAUGAACAUAUAUAAAUUCAGACCUCUAACCCCGUUCGGGCCUUGAACAUAGCCCAUAUAAAGAAUCAUUAUCCAUAUGUGCAUAAAGAGCUGGCCAAUCAUAGGCCUGGGCCCAGGUCCAAAUGAACAUAUAAUCAGGGGCAAGACCUGGGCCAUUUGUGAUGGCACUGAGGCCCAAACUGUGCGAAAUGGACUGUUAAUCCUAACCUCAGUUCCAACUGAACAAAUGAUCACUGGUAUUGCUUCAGGUUAUUCAAAUGGGUCGUUUGGGAUUGUCUAAGUCAACUGGAAGCCCGGUUUUGACAAAACACGAAGCAACUGACUAGUCUUAGUUUUAUUCAAGUUAUCCUUACUAGAUUAAUAUUCAAAUAUCCGUGAUUUUUAAGGCUGAACUACUGAACCUCCUAUUGAAAACAAGUGUUAUAAUGCCGGACUUAAGCUAAUGCCCAUAUCCUAAUUAACAAUUCAAUUUCUGACCAUCACUACAAAUUAAAGUAAUAAAUCUCGACUUUAUAUCAUGCUUCGAGCUAUUCUAAUUUCAAAAUUAAACUAUACAGAUAAACCAUUCUACAUCAAGGUUAAUGACUAUCACCAAUCUGUAGGCUAAACAGUUCAACAUCUAUUUCCAGUUUAACGUGAAUUCAAGGUUAAGAUGAGCUAAAUCAAAUUUAAAAAGAAAACUACUAAUUACAGAAUUCACCAUCUAAACAGUUCCCAAUUAGUAUGGUUCAGAACAGUCCUAUUACAAAAUGACACAAAACUUCAAGUAACAAGCUGUUUUAUAUGUUAAAACCAGGCAGAAACAAAACAAAUUUGGGACUCGACUUUAGACAGCAGUUCAAACAGUACUCCAUCAUGUAUUCCUCAAAUCAAAACUACAUCAAGCCUUCAUAGUUCAUAGGAGAUCAAAGAGUACCUGAUAUUUGAACAAAAACUAAGAAGAAGUAGAGGUCGGCAACAGUGACAAAUGCAUCAACAGAUCGGCAGUCAAAUUCCAGAUAAACUGAUUAAUUUCCAACUCAAACAAUCACAGCCACCCAGUGAUGAACAGAAGAAGAAUAAAACUAGUGAAAACAACUAAAAUCCAACUUCAUACAACCCAAAACCACUCGAAAAUCACCCAGGGACUACUGAAGCUUCAGAACCCAAUUAUGGAACUAAAAAACUAGAAUUAAUAACUAAAAAAUGAAAUUAGCUUGAAUUCUCUAAUAAAACAGUUCUAUUUUUGUGUUUUUGAAGGGUUUUCUAUUGCUUUUUUUGUUGUUUUUUUAUUUUUGAAGAACUAAAUCUAGAGUUGGAAUUUGAAUAUCAUAUCUGCAACUCAGAUCUGCAGCAAAGAGUUUUUUUAGAGGGGGAGGGGGGAAUUUUGAUGGCCAAACUUCCUCCUUAAGGCACUACCCAUGCCCUUUUAUAGGCAAAAUAAGCUGCAAAUUUCAGACUUCAAUUACAAUACUUUGGUCCUUCUGUUAUUUUACUUUUUAAUCGAUUAACCCCUCAUUUCCUAACUUGUUAUUCAAGUUACUGCUUUUAAAAAGCUGAAACUUACACCAAGACCCCAUUCUAGAAGGCCCUAUGGUGUUCUUCUACCUAUAGAAUACAUAUACUACAUUUAUUUGGUUUUGAAAUUAAUAUUCUUAACAAAACAUCCCUUUUCCAUGCCUAAACUACCCCUGAAAACCCCCUGAAAUUACCGACCCUAAUUAAAAUUCUAACGUUAUAACCAAUCACCUAAACUAAGAUUAAUUAAUAGAGAUUGAACCUCAAACUAAUGAACACUGAAUUGAAGAACACUUGAAACUUGAUUAAACUAUCAAGACAUUAAUCUAAUCAAUUUUAACACAGGUUUGGAACAGAAUUAAACUGAAAAUCUAAAGGGACAAAAAUCAGAUUACAAAAGGAAAUUAGACUAAACCAAUCAGUUUGAACUAAUUAAAACUAUUACUUAACAAUUUAACUAAUUAGCCGAACAUUUAAACUAAGUAAAAUGAAAAUCGACUCAGUGUUAUCUAAGAUGGAAACUAACCUAAGGAUUGACCUACACAUUUAUCACUAACAAUAACAAAUAGAAAUAGAAACAUAUUGAUGCCAAGCUAAAUUGUUAAUCAGAACUACACGGCAAUUGAACUUCAUUUAAUUAAACAAGUAAUAACAUGCACCAAACUAAUAAGAAACGAAACUAAAAAAAUGAAAAAGAAGAAUAAAACUUACUGUCACAAUCUUCAUUUAUCCAAUUUCAUCAAAGUUGGGUUUUUAAUUAAUGUUAUAUGUUUAUAAAACAUAUAUCAUCAAUUAAAAAAUCACUUGACUCCUUGAAAUCCCAAAAUAGUUUUGACCCCCAAAACCCUAGAUCCGACAGUUGAGCCCUUCUACUCGGAUUUGAGGGAUUAUGGGAAGGUAUUAGUGAUGAGGGAAGGACGAUGAUCAUCUGGUAUCAAUUUGGUGGGAAAAAGGGGCGGGGCGGCCAUUGAGAUUCGAGGGCGGCAGCUAAGGUUCAUCAAUUUCGAGUCAAGAUUCGAAACCUUUGAGGUUGAUUCGAAGGAAAAGAAGUGUAGAUUUGGAAUGAGAAGAUAGAGACGGUGUUGGGGUGUAAUUUUGGUGGUCGUUGGUGUAACUAAUGGCCUCGCUGCCGGCUCGCUCUGAUCAAAGAAAAUGGGGGCGGCUGAUUAAUUAGGGUUCAGGUUAGAGACGACUGGGGAGGGGUCUGAGAGGGCGGGGGGAUUGGAUUUC